AGAGUUUGAUCCUGGCUCAGAUUGAACGCUGGCGGCAUGCUUUACACAUGCAAGUCGAACGGCAGCACAGGGAGCUUGCUCCCGGGUGGCGAGUGGCGCACGGGUGAGUAAUACAUCGGAACGUGUCCUGUUGUGGGGGAUAACUGGUCGAAAGGGGUGGCUAAUACCGCAUGAGACCUGAGGGUGAAAGCGGGGGAAUCGCAAGACCUCGCGCAAUUGGAGCGGCCGAUGCCCGAUUAGCUAGUUGGUGAGGUAAAGGCUCACCAAGGCGACGAUCGGUAGCUGGUCUGAGAGGACGACCAGCCACACUGGGACUGAGACACGGCCCAGACUCCUACGGGAGGCAGCAGUGGGGAAUUUUGGACAAUGGGGGCAACCCUGAUCCAGCCAUGCCGCGUGCAGGAUGAAGGCCUUCGGGUUGUAAACUGCUUUUGUCAGGGACGAAAAGGAUCGUGAUAAUACCAUGGUCUGCUGACGGUACCUGAAGAAUAAGCACCGGCUAACUACGUGCCAGCAGCCGC
RNAcentral lists this ribosomal RNA (521 nucleotides) under uncultured bacterium. Its description in RNAcentral is "bacterial SSU rRNA". It matches the Rfam family "Bacterial small subunit ribosomal RNA", at positions 8 to 518 of the family's 1533-position model. The record is from RNAcentral.